UUAGUCGCCACCGUUCUGAGCCCUUGCCCGCCCCGCCGCCUCUGCUCUCCCUGCCCUACUGCGAUCUCGAUCCUAUUCGUACGGCGACGGUGCGACACUGCCUUCUUCACUUGUCAAAUCUUCCGGCUGCAACCAGCGGGAACUAGCCGAGGACCCAAGGUUUAACACACAUCAAUAUGAAGAGAAAAGUGUCGCCAUACACCGUUAAGAUUAAUUCAUUCUUUAGGCUGGUUGCUUCAAGAUCUCAACCUAGUGAAUUUUUUAAUGGGGCUGAUAUGUUGGACAUAGUAAAUGUUGCAGAACAAGAACAAAAUUGGCUUAUGAGAGACCCUGGUAAACAUUGUCAAAUUUGAGAGCUGCGACUGGACAAGCAAGAUGAAGAUCGGCAUUUUCAUAUAUCCGAGGGACCAUAUCAGCCGAUAAUUAAGUGCCCCGAAACACUCUAAACAGUAAUUUAUCAUUUAAGCGCCGUCAAAUGGGAUAUGACUUACUUCGGUGUUACAUGAUUAGAUACAUUGAAAUAAUUAGCAGGUAAUUUCUCUUCCAAUGAAAUUAUUAAAUUUUCUCAUCUUAUUGGCAAUUGUAGAGGAAACUUUAAACUCGUACAAUAUUUUAUAGGUGUGGCACAUUAUUAUAGUAUGAUGAUAGUUAUUUUUCCAGUCGAGACAAAAAAAAUAUGAACUUGACUUGGCCCUCC
Long non-coding RNA from Triticum aestivum (bread wheat), 697 nucleotides. RefSeq lists it as uncharacterized. The record is from RefSeq and is a predicted model, not a curated record. NCBI's taxonomy places the organism in Eukaryota, Viridiplantae, Streptophyta, Magnoliopsida, Poales, Poaceae. The transcript is spliced from 2 exons.